This 331-nucleotide ribosomal RNA is filed under the name uncultured Ruminococcus sp. RNAcentral describes it as "bacterial SSU rRNA". It matches the Rfam family "Bacterial small subunit ribosomal RNA", at positions 28 to 339 of the family's 1533-position model. Lineage: Bacteria; Bacillati; Bacillota; Clostridia; Eubacteriales; Oscillospiraceae. The record is from RNAcentral.
GAUGAACGCUAGCGGCAGGCUUAACACAUGCAAGUCGAACGGAGAUGCAUUGAAUGAAGAUUUCGGUUGGAUUUCGAUACAUCUUAGUGGCGGACGGGUGAGUAACGCGUGAGUAACCUGCCGAUGAGAGUGGAAUAACGUUCUGAAAAGGACGCUAAUACCGCAUAAUGUAGAGCGGCCGCAUGACCAUUCUACCAAAGAUUUUAUCGCUCAUCGAUGGACUCGCGUCCGAUUAGCUAGUUGGUGGGGUAACGGCCCACCAAGGCGACGAUCGGUAGCCGGACUGAGAGGUUGAACGGCCACAUUGGGACUGAGACACGGCCCAGACUCC